GUAUGUUCAGACACGUCUAUCUUCAGACAAGAACUAACCUAAUUCCUUUCCUUGGAGACUUUGAGAACCUUCUCCAUUGUUGCCAUUUUCAUCUCUAACACCCUUUCUCAAGUUGGAGAGGGAUGAAAGUACUCCCAACUUGCCCAAUAAUCGGUGAUGAAAAGGGCCAGUAAGAGGCUUUGUGAAAAAAUCAGCGAGCUAAGAAGAGGAGCGAACAAAUGAUAGUAAAAUCAAACUUGCCAUGAACUGCUGAUGAACGAAACGAAAACCAAGCUUUGCAUGCUUUGUUCUUUCAUGAAAGACAGAGUCUUUUAGCUAUGUGAAUCGCCGCUUGGCUGUCAGAGUGAAGAGGGACCGGGAGGGAUAUUGGAAUAGAUAAAUCAUCAAAGAGUCUGACUAACCAGGUAAGCUCUGCGACUACACGCCGCAUGGAUCGAUACUCAGCUUCUGCAGAGCUUAGAGAAAUUGUGGUCUACUUCUUCAAUUUCCAAGAAAUAGGAGAAAAUCCCAGCGAAAUGUAGAAACCACUGACAGAUUUGUGCGAUUCUGAGCAUGUGCUCCAAUCGGAGUCACAGAAAGCCAGCAACUGAUACGAAGGGGAGGAAGUCAUGAAUAAACCAAGACCAAGAUCCUUUGAUGAAUAUCGAAGGACACGAAGGGCUGCUUGCAUGUGAGGAACUCUUUGAACCUGCAUAUAUUGGCUUAGAUGUUGUACAGUGAAGGAAAGAUCCGGCCUUGUAUGAGUUAAAUAGUUCAGCUUUCCCAACAAAUGGCGAUACAAGGUCGGGUCUUAGAUAGGAGCACCAGUUUUGGCCAACAAUUUGAUAAUGGGAUCAAGUGGACAAGAAACGGAUGGCUUGUGAGUACAAUAAAAUUCCAGCAACAAAUCAACACUGAAUUUCCGCUGAGUAAGAAUUAGUCCCUUAGAUUCACGCAGUACCUCCAUUCCAAGAAAAUAAUGUAAGUUCCCUAAAUCCUUUAUUUUGAAUUCCUGAUGUAGAAAAACUUUCAAAGCAUGUAGCUCCUCUAAAUUAUUUCCUGUCAAGAGUAUAUCAUCGACAUAGACUGCCACUAUAGAGAAAGAGGAGUCAGACCUUUUAAAGAAUAGGAAAUAAUCAUUGAGAUAAUGGGAGAAACCUUUAAAAUUAAGAGUUGCUGUUAAUUUAGCAUACCACUGCCGGGAUGCUUGACGAAGCCCAUAUAGUGACUUAUUUUACUUGCAAACGUGUGUAGGAGGAGGAGGAGAGAAACCAAUUGGAAACUUCAUGUACACCUCUUCAUUCAAAUCCCCAUGCAGAAAUGUAUUAUUCACAUCUAACUAAAAAAUUCCCAACCUUUCUUAACUGCUGUAUCUAGAAUGCAUUUGAUGGUGGUCAUUUUUACCACUGGGGAAAAUGUUUCAUUGAAGUCUAUCCCUUCUUUUUGAAUAUCCCCUCUAACUACACGUCUAGCUUUGAGACUUUCCACACUUCCAUCAGAGUUAUGCUUUACUUUAUACACCCACUUGCACGGUAAUGCCUUUCUACCAGGAGGUAAUUCCAUGACCUCCAAGGUGUGAUUGAGCUCAAGUGCCUCUAUCUCUCUUUCUAUUGCUUCCUGCCAUCCUGGGUGAUGGGCUGCUUGGGUAUAACUGGUUGGUUCUUGGAUAGCGGAUAGGGAAUUUAGGAGAUUUUGUUUGGAUGUAGAUAGGUUAUUGAAUGGAAAACUAGAAGGUGUUACAGGUGACAGGAAACAAGAACCACUUACAUCAGUCAAUUGAAUAUCAUUGCAAAUGUAGUCCUUGAGGUAAGGGGGAGGGUUGUGUGGCCUUGAGAAUUUUCUAAUAAGAUUGUCCAACAUGGGUUCAGUAGCUGAAGGUGAAGCAGUAUGAAUGAGAGAGUGAGAGACAAAAGAAGAAGAUGGUGUAGGACUGGAAGGUGGAAAAUCAGGAAAGUCUUGCACAGGAUGAUCUUCAUUAGGCAGUUCUGAAUGUUCAGUAGUAGGUUGUGGUAAAUCAAGGGAGAAGGUAUGAGAACUGGACAUUAGUGAAGUAGGUAAAAACGAGUCAGUUGACCCCUUGGAUGUGAUGAGGAAAAAGGGAAGAAUUCUUCAGGAAAAAUAACAUUCCUAGAAACAAAAGGCUUUAGAGUGCUAAGAUUGAGAACCGUGUACCCAUUCUUUCCAUGUGGAUAACCUAAGAAACACAAGGCAUAGCCCUUAGUUGGAAUUUUGUUUUGUGACUUGAGAGAGUAGAAACAAAACACAGACACCCAAAACACCUCAAAUUAAAGUAACUAGGUUUGGAUUUAAAAAGAUCCUCAUAGGGUUUUUUUGUAAGAAAGAACUUUGGAAGGAAAACUAUUGUCAAGUAUGUAGCAGUUAGAACGCAAUCCCCGCAAUAAGCAAUAGGCAAUUUUGAUUGGAAGAGAAGGGCUCGAGAUGUCUCUAAAGGUGUUUAUGUUUCCUCUCCACAACCCCAUUUUGUUGUGGAGAAGCUACACAAGUAGUCUGAUGCAUAAUUCCAUGUGAAGAAAACUAAUUAGACUGCAGACUCCCACUCCCUAAUUCAAAAGCAUUGUCUGACCUUAUUGUCUUGACCUGGGUAUUGAAUUGUCUUUCCACCAUUGCUAAAAAUGACUUAAGAAUUAGGAAUGCAUUUGAUUUUGUACUUAGUAGAUAAGUCCAUGUUCCUCUACUGUAGUCAUCAAGAAUUGUAAAAAAAUAUUUGUAACCAUCAUAGUUUGGCUGCUAUAGGGAUCCCAUGGGUCUAUGUGAAUUAAUGCAAAAAAUUUCUUUGUGGAAAUAGAACUAAUGGGAAAAGGGAGUUUGGACUAUCUAGCCAUAGGAUAAACAACACAAGGCACAGAAAACUUUGAACAAGGUGAAAUAGGAAUAAUAGAUAUAUUUCUCAUGGAACAAAUUGUUUGUCAUUGAAACUCUUUCUAGAUACAAAACUACUAUUGGAAAGUAAAAAACUCUUGGGAAUGGCAGUUGUAGGCCUUGAUUGAAGAAUGUAGAGACCACUUCUCUCCUUGCCAAUCUCCAGAGGGCUCUUCAAAGAAUGGCCUGCAAAAAACAAGAAGUAGAAGUAAAAAAGAGUGGAUUACUAAGCUGCUUACAUAAUUUGUGCACAGAUAGAAGAUUGUACUUAACAGAAGGUAUAUGCAACACAUUGUGUACUACCAGAUUAGAGAAAAGAGCUACUGAUCCAUAAUGAGUUACUAAAACUUUCUGAGAAUUAGGAAGAUUGAUUAUUCUACGCUUGAAUAAAGGCUUGAGAUUAGGAAAAAAAUUCUUAUUAUAAGACAUAUGUUCUGAAGCACCACUAUCUAGUAUCCAUGAAUGACUGUUGAAUUGAAAGAAACAUGCAGGUGACUUAAAGAAUUUGGGUGUACCAGCACAGUUUGCACUUGCAGUACCAUCAGAAGUACUUCCUCUUUGCUGUCCAUCUUCAACUGUUGAAAAAAGCUGAAGUAGCUGAGUUACAUUCUCCUGGUAAGUGAUUUUCCUUCAGUGAUUCCAAAUACCUAUUCUCCUUCUUCAUUUGAUAUUAGAGCAUUGUUUGCCUGGGCUGGUCCCUAAAAUUUCCUUGGCUUUGUGAAUUUGAAAUCUGCAGGAAAACCAUGGAUCCUAUAGCACUUAUCAAUGAUAUGUCCUGGCUUCUUGCAGUAAGCACAAAUCCCUGAACUCUUCUUUGCAUCAUAGGACCCCUUCUGUCCUUUGGAAUCACCAUAUUUCUUCACAUCUGCUUGGUUUAUUACCAUGAAGGAACUAGACUCCCCUGGGUAGGCAGGUACAAUAUGAAUUUCUCUUUGUUUUUCAUCUUGUAUUACCAAAGAGUAUGCCUUACCAAUGGAAUAUAAAGGAGAUGACAACAAUAUGUUUCUCCUAACUCCUAUGAAGGUUUCAUUCAUACCUAUAAGGAAUUUCAAAAGUCUCUCAUCUUGAUGAGCAUUGAUGCUCUUUGCCUUAGCCCCACAAUCACACUCACACACACAAGUACAAAAGGUAUUGAGUGCAUCUAGCUCAUCCCAUAAUCCUUUCAUCUUAGUAAAAUAGGUUGAAACACUCGAGUUACCUUGCACCACAACACUUAGUUCUUUUUGUAGCUGAAAUAACUUGGCUCCACUUGCCUGACCAAACCAAUCUUCCAGAUCAUGCCAUAGAUCUUUUGCACUCUCUGAGUACAAGACACUCUCAGCAAUUUCUUUGGAAAGUGAGAGGAGAAGCCAAGAAAGGACCAUGUCGUUGCAUCUUGCCCAAGCUCUUUGAAGACCAGAAUUUGCGUCUGGAAUAUCUAGGGUUCCAUCAAUGAAUCCUAGGUUGUUCUUAGCGGAUAAAGCUAUGACUAAGGCACUCCUCCACCCACCAUAUCCUCUGCCAUCAAAUACUGAGGAGACCGGUUCGUUCUUGGGUAGUCUGAAGGAUGGAGGUAAUAGGGACGAGUUGAAUCAACUAAACCAAUACCACUAGAACCAGCAGAUACAUUAGUUGUUGGAAUAGGGGGAGAGGAUCUGUAAAAGAAGAAGAUGAAUUUGAAUAAUAAAGAAAUGUGGCUUAAAGCAGAUCAACACUGCUCUGAUACCAUGAAGGAAUAGGAAUAAAAUAGAUUGAGAAAAUUAUCUUUUCUGCAUUGAAUGAAUCAAUAGUGUUGUACAGAACAUUGUUUAUAUACAACAGGGAUGGAAUCUAAAAUAACUACUUAUGCUACGUGUCUCUAAUUUAUUAGCUAAGCUAUAACAAACUAAAGUGUGAUGACCCGGCCGGUCGUCUUUUUAUGCCCCGUUUCCCUAUUAACUGCUUCCUCUAAGUUCAUUUAUACUAUUUUGGUUUGUCGAGAUGUUCGGUAAUAGAAUUCGGAGUGUUUUGGGACACUUAGUCCCUAAGUGAGAGCUUAAGUGUUAAAAAUGGUCCAUAAUUAUAACGGUGUGAAGACGACCUCGAAAUGGAAAUUCAAUGGUUCCGUUAUCUCUGUUAGGUGAUUUCGGGGUUGGGAGCAUGUUUGGAAUGUAUUUUGGAUGUCCGUAGCUCAUUUAGGCUAGAAAUGCCGAAAGUUAAAAUUUUGAUGUUUCCAGUCCGAUAGUGAAUUUUUGAUUUGAGGGUUUGAACGGGAUUCUGGAAGUUUCUGUAGCACCGUCAUGUCAAUCGAACGUGUAUUGGUUAGGUUUUGAAUCGAAAGCGAGUUUUGUUAAGUUUUGAAGUUUUUAAGUUCGAAUUAUUGAUUAAUUCGAGUUUCUGGCGUUGUUGUAGGUAGCUUAAGGAUUGGGAAAAGUUUGAAUGAUGUUAUGGGAUAUGUCUGUAGGUUUGGUUGAGGUCCCGGGGGCCUCGGGUGUGUUUCGGAUGCUCAACGGAGCAUUUUUGGAGUAGAAAACAUUGCAGAAUUCUUCAGCUGUUGCAUGUCUUUUUUUCCUUCGCGAUCGCGUCCCAUUUCACGCGGCCGCAUAGGCCAAUCUGGUAGGGUCCGAAAUUCCUUAAUCGCGAUCGCAGGGAUUGGUUUGCAAUCGCGUAACUCUACCUCUCCCCUAUUCGCGUUCGCGUGCCUUCUUACGCGAUUGCGUAAGGCCAUCUCUUUCCCGUCCGCGAUCGCAUGCUCCUUCUCAUGAUCGCAUAGGGCUCUUUCCUGGAGCCUUUAUUUUGAUCUUCGCGAUCGCGUCCCUAUCUUCGCGAUUGCGAUUCACUAAAUACCUGGGUAAAUAUUAAUAUUUCAAUAACUAAGCCUUCUUCCAUUUUUACAAAAACUCAAGCUAGAGAGCUCGGUCUUGGGAGAUUUUUUGAGGGAUUUUCAGAGGCAAAUAUUGGGUAAUGAUUCCUUACUCCUCUAUGACUAAAACCCACUAAUCUAAUCGUAAUUUCAACCUUUAAUUUCGGAUUUUUGAAUGAAAAUUGGGGUAAAGUUCUUAGAUCUAAUUGUGAGGAUUUGAUGGGUUAUUUGACCUCCAAUUUGGGAGAUUUUUAUAUGGUUAGACUCGUGAGAGUACGAGGUUUAUGAAAAUAUGAAAAUUAUUCGAUUCCGAGACAUUGACCUGAGGAGCAUUUUGAUUAUUUUACCUAUUCUCGCGCCUUAGCUUUAAUUUAAUUGAGACGUUGGCUGUAGGGAAAAUNNNNNNNNNNNNUUGAUCAAGACAAUGUUUCUGAAAAUGUGAAAAUUAUUCAAUUUUGAGACGUUGGCUGUAGGGAAAAUUUGGUCAUUUCACAUAUUUUCGCGCCUUAGCUUUAAUUUUAACAGUGUAAUUAGUUGUUACUUGUGAUGUUAUUUACAAUAUGUAAUUGGUUUGAAUAGAUUUGGGCCACUCGGAGUCUGAUAUUCAUGGCAAAGGCAUUGUUUGUUAGCAAUUUUGUACCGGUUCGAGGUAAGUGGCUUGUCUAACUUUUUGUGGGGAACUCUCCCCUUAGGAUGCUGUUGUUUAAAUGCCUUGUGUGCGAGGUGACGGGCGCGUACUUGUACUAGUUGUUGAAAAUUCACCUUACUUGGCUUAUUUAGACUGUGUUUCUCCGUAUAUUUAGCUGUUAAAAUGCAAUUUCACUUGUUUUAUCUUAGGAAAAGCAUGUUAGUAAUUUAUUUGCUCUAUUUGACUAAAUUGCAAUAUCUGUCCUUUUUGUAAGGAUGCUAGGCUCUAGAUCUUUACAUGUUGUUGUACUUGGCUUCUUUCUAUUAAAUAUUGAAUUGUUUGUGAUAUGUUUACGAUUGGGACUACGAGUUCAAUUCCCCGGAGAUCCCCCUAUUACUUAUAUGAUAGACUACGGUUUAAAUUCCUGGCAUAUUCUCUGUUAUUGAUAUGAUGGACUACGAGUUCAAUUCCUGAUAGAUCCCAUGCUGUUUAUAUGAUGGACUACAGGUUCAAUUCCCGGUAGAUCCUCUGUUAUUGACAGGAUGGACUACGGGUUAGAUUCUCGGUAGAUCUCCUAUUAUUGAUAUGAUAGACUAAGGGUCCAAUUCACGGUAGAUCCUCUAUUAUUGAUGUGAUGGACUGCGGAUUCAAUUCCCGGGAGAUCCUCUGAUGUUAGUAUGAUGGAUUGCAGGUUCGAUUCCCGGAAGAUCCUCAGAUAUUGGUAAGAAUGGACUGCAGGUUCGAUUCCCAGAGCUCCAUGCGGCCUCCUGACUUUUGAGUGAUUGUUCUUGUAUUCGUAGAUUCUAUUUGUAGCCUGUUCUGUUCUAUUUAUUGUCUUGCUAGAUACUUGAGAUUUACUGCAUUUCAUACUAUCAUUUUAUCUUAUACUCAUUCUUAUGUUCAUAUCAGUAGGGCCUCGACCUUCCUCGUCACUACUCCACCGAGGUUAGGCUUGGCACUUACUAAGUACCACUGUGGUUUACUCAUGUUACUCUUCUGCACACUUUUGCUAUGCAAAUCCAGGUACUACUGGUUGGACGCGCUAUUAGGGAUUUUGGAGCUACAUUUGGAGGCUCUAGGUAUGCAUCUGUCGCGUCCAUUGAUCCGAAGAAUUUUGCUAUGCAGAUCUUGGUGCUUCUGGUCGAGCGCGCUAUCAGUGAUUUCAGAGUUACACUUGGAGACUUGAGAUAUACAUCUGCCGCGUCCGUAGAUCCGAAGAAUCUCCUUCUAUUCUACCUUUUAGUUAGCAGUUUCAUUCAUGUAUUCAAUUGUUGUAGACACUUCUGGAUGUCAGAUUCGUGUGUUAUGUUUUUACUCUUAGCCUGUGUUGCCCGUAGAUUUCCGGGUCUUGGAGGUUGUUACAUUGUUUGAGUUGAAGUGUAUGUGUCGGGCGGCACACCAUACAUUUUCUUAUGUUAUUCAGUAUUGUUUAUCAUUUUCGUAAAAGUUGUUGAAUUUCCGCAAUGUGUCAGGCUUACCUAGUCGCGAAAACUGGGUGCAGUCAUGACGGGUUUACGAUUUGUGAACUAGGUUCAUGACAAGUUGGUAUCAGAGCUCUAGGAUCAUAUGAGUCAUGAGACACAUGCCGGUUAUUUAGAGUCUUGCUGAUCGGUACAGAGACGUCUGUACUUAUCUACGGGAGGCUACGUAACUAUUUAGGAAAAUCUUCACUUCAUUUGAAUUCUUGUCGUGCUAUGUUUUUGACCUCGAUUCUAAACUUCUGUCUUC
RNAcentral lists this long non-coding RNA (8036 nucleotides) under Nicotiana benthamiana. RNAcentral describes it as "long non-coding RNA (NBEN_LNC039225)". Lineage: Eukaryota; Viridiplantae; Streptophyta; Magnoliopsida; Solanales; Solanaceae. The record is from RNAcentral.